RNAcentral lists this ribosomal RNA (465 nucleotides) under uncultured bacterium. RNAcentral describes it as "partial 16S ribosomal RNA". It matches the Rfam family "Bacterial small subunit ribosomal RNA", at positions 28 to 507 of the family's 1533-position model. The record is from RNAcentral.
GACGAACGCUGGCAGCGUGCUUAACACAUGCAAGUCGAACGGAAAGGCCCCCUUGUGGGGUACUCGAGUGGCGAACGGGUGAGUAACACGUGAGUAACCUACCCUUGACUUUGGGAUAACUUCAGGAAACUGGGGCUAAUACCGGAUAGGAGCUCCUGCUGCAUGGUGGGGGUUGGAAAGUUUCGGCGGUUGGGGAUGGACUCGCGGCUUAUCAGCUUGUUGGUGGGGUAGUGGCUCACCAAGGCUUUGACGGGUAGCCGGCCUGAGAGGGUGACCGGCCACAUUGGGACUGAGAUACGGCCCAGACUCCUACGGGAGGCAGCAGUGGGGAAUAUUGCACAAUGGGCGGAAGCCUGAUGCAGCAACGCCGCGUGCGGGAUGACGGCCUUCGGGUUGUAAACCGCUUUCGCCUGUGACGAAGCGUGAGUGACGGUAAUGGGUAAAGAAGCACCGGCUAACUACGUG